Molecule: long non-coding RNA, 2414 nt
Filed under: Mus musculus (house mouse)
Lineage: Eukaryota; Metazoa; Chordata; Mammalia; Rodentia; Muridae
Description: predicted gene 45278
Source: RNAcentral
UCACCUUGCAGUCCGUUCCCGUUGGCGCUGGUGCAGGAAGGAGGAGGCGAGGCUUGGGGCCGGACCACGGGCGCAAAAGCGCUCUUCUGUUUCACUGCGGAGAUGACAUUGGCAGCCAGCUUGGAUAAUCUUAUCACGCCAACCCUACCACUGGUGAGACCUGUUCCAUCUCUGUUGGCUUCGACGGCCAGCCAAAGCAUGCUUCGAUCUAACCUUCAGCUGUUUCUACACACUGCUUUAGAAGCAAUUAUCAACAGCUUGGAUUCCUGACCUGCUACCCCACUCUCUCUGAACUUUCAGCCUCAAUAGACCUUCAAAUGCCAUGGCUGACAAAGAGAGCUUGUUUGUGGCCGUAACUCCUCUGGAAAGACUGUUUGGGGGGCAGAGGGGGGGGUCCUUCAUUUUCACUGUUGCUGUCUCUGUGAGCGUGAGUAGGGUGGGCGCCAUAGCUUCUUGCCUGCUGUAUAGCGUGGGUAACUGGUAGCCAGCAGAACAGGGGGUGGGGUGGGGCUCUGAGAUGGCUGCCUGCAUCAUUUUUUUUUAUAGAGGAAGUGAAUUAAACUGGGCUCACAGAACCUGCUCAAAGGACACCAGAUUGUGACUUCAACAGCCCUGGUCACUGUCCUGUGGGAUACGAUACACCAUGGGGGGGAAAUGGAUGGCUUUCUCCAUGGAUUCAGACCAGGAAGGGAACCCAAAUACCCCCCAUGAACAUCCAAGAAGGCUCCUCCUGGCUUCCUGUGUUAUAGCUGCCCUAUGGCUCUGCCCAUUCUUGUCAAAGAACACAGAGUCACUUACAAAUAAGCUAAGGGACACUUAUAGCAAUACCAGGGAGCUGAGUGGCAGCCGAUGGAGCUACUGUCACUAGGACUGGGUUCUUUGAGUGUUCUCUGCCCAGAACAGCUGGAAGAUGUGCGGCAAGGUCUUCCCUGCAAGAAGGAACCAGCCAUGCCUAAGGGCAUGGAAUGUGACCAGCACUCCCCAGCUGGGCCCCAACACCUCCACCUGUAACUAUUGCCUCAACCCACCCUGGGGAGGGAGCCAGGGAAGGCUCCGCCUGGCAGAGUGGCCUACCUUGGUCAUUGGCUUGUGAGGUCUCUGACACAUUAACGGCUAGCUGGCUGCUGAAGGAGUUCACACCCAUCAUGCCAGUGUGUGCUGGGGUGUUGCCCAGGGUGGGGAUCUGGUUGUGAUUGCGGGGAACGCUGUACAACGCCUCAGCAAUGUCGGCCGCUCUCUUCAGGAUGAUCUCCUACAGCAACAGCAAUACCUGUGUAAGCCUAUGAUAUCAUACGUGCGUGGCCAGGUUACAAUGGCCACAUCCCACGCACUAUGGACCUGUCCUCUUGGUGGGGCAAGCAAUGAUGACAUGGCCCAGACUAUGACAAAAUCCUUAGGAAAACUGUCAAAGGAUGCUUCUAAGUGGCUACAUCUUGUCCUUAAGACCCGAAGCCCUAAACCCUAGGACAGGCAGAAGGCAGCAGACUCAGAAUUAAGAAACCAGGCCCCCUCCAGAAGAAAUGAGCUUCUCUUCCAUGGGGCUUCACGGUCUGUGAGAAUAAGCUACGGGGUGCCCAUAUGCCCUCUCUGAGCCCCAGAAACACCUAAUACACCUCACCUGCUACUGAGUACUAUGGAACUUCAAAGACCCACCAACUCCCCUUUGUGAGCCACCCUCCUCAACUGCUCUUAUUCUACUGGAAUAUUUAGUGUGAGGCAUGGUUUUGGUGCUGAAACAGGGCGCUAUGUACCUAGGAGGCCCAUGGUGCCUGUCUAAGCUGAGCGUGCUGAGUCCAGGAAAGGCAGGGUCCACCUACCUGGUUAUUGUGAGGCAUCCCAUACAAGGCUUCCACAAGGUCUGCUGCCCUCUUCAGUAACACUUCCUAAAGGGAAGCACACAGGGUCUUAUGGAGGCAGGCGUGAGGGAGUACAACUCAUCUAAGACAGCACUUCACGCAGCUACAAGAGACCAGCUCCCUCCACCAGACCCUGCCCACCUCUGCCAUGAACUCUCUGAAAGGCAAACACAGGUGGCCCUGCUGGGUCUUUCAAAGUUCAUGUGAGCCUAAAUAAACAGCCUUCCUAGGGCUGUGCCAAACCAGCAACCUGGCAGCAGCAUGUGGCACAAAGGAGAGCAUACUUGGAGGAGCCUCACCCACGCCCAGGGUUUAAUGAUGCAGUCUUCUGGGUAUUACACAAACACACAUGGCAGAGAUAUGAAGGGCCCCGGCAUCACAUUUGUCUGUUAAUUCCUAACACUUUAGUGGUGAAGAACAAUAAGUAAUUUUCCAUAUCUUAAUUAAACUGGCAGAGUCCUUAAAGACAACAUCUCACCCUGAAUUCACGCCCCAAAUUUGCAAGUGAGUUCAGCACUUAUUUCUCUUUAUUUUGAACAAUAAAGUGAAUUAACUUGG